Helianthus annuus (common sunflower) is the source of this 427-nucleotide long non-coding RNA. RefSeq lists it as uncharacterized. NCBI's taxonomy places the organism in Eukaryota, Viridiplantae, Streptophyta, Magnoliopsida, Asterales, Asteraceae. The transcript is spliced from 3 exons. The record is from RefSeq and is a predicted model, not a curated record.
UCGAGAGAAGGGGCAGGGGAAGAACAAAACCCUAAUCAGCCUAAAUUCAUCAAAUUGAAAGGGGAAUUGAGGGCUAUUUGGAUGCAUGAACCAAGAAUGUUGAUCCCGUAAGCGUUUCUAAUAUCAAAUAGGAGUCAUCUCAACAUGGACACAAGCAUGGAAGGGCAACGGGUCAAAGGUAAACCCGGAAGCUAUGCACGAACUCGGACGCACGAGGUACCACACGGAUUCCUUCCACUACUAACGAUGAUGAGCGGGCAUAGAUCGAGUCGAAUAGCAGGGAUUGUACGGAAAGAACGGUUACGUAGUCUUAAUUUUGUAACGCAUUAAUUUGUAAAUGGAAGUGAAUUUUGUAAGCUUCUUCAUGAAUGUGUGUAUUGUUAUAAAAUCAUAAAGAAAUUUUUAAAGCUAUUUUUCCGCUGCGUUA